RNAcentral lists this transfer RNA (68 nucleotides) under Sardinella albella (white sardinella). RNAcentral's name for it is "tRNA-Ser". Lineage: Eukaryota; Metazoa; Chordata; Actinopteri; Clupeiformes; Clupeidae. The record is from RNAcentral. RNAcentral also lists the same sequence under 1 other name.
GAGAGAGGCUUGAAGCAAAAUAAGACUGCUAAUCUUUGUCCCCGCAGUUAAAAUCUGCGGCUCACUCG